This 7041-nucleotide long non-coding RNA is filed under the name Capsicum annuum. RNAcentral describes it as "long non-coding RNA (CANN_LNC010865)". Lineage: Eukaryota; Viridiplantae; Streptophyta; Magnoliopsida; Solanales; Solanaceae. The record is from RNAcentral.
UAUCUACCAAAAUGGCUAAGAAAUGAAAUUUGAAUUCAAGGACUAUUUUGGUGGAAAUACUUUGGCCCGACCGGCCAUUUUUGUCCUUCUCCCAAAAAACAAUGAUUCCAUCCCAUAAUCGAACCAAAUCCAAAUAAGAUCCUAAAAUCUAAUAGGGUUUCUUACUUAGAGUUCCAUUCAGCAUUCUCUCUAAAUGCUGCCGAUGAGAGCUAUCAUCAAUCGUGGGUUUCAUCUUCUUGUUCUUUGAAUCAUUAAUCUUCCCGGGGGUGAGCCGAUGGUAAAGAUUGUAUCUUCAACUCGCAAAGGUGCGUGCCCCUUCUUAUUUUCACCAUUUUUGAAUUGCUUUUUGUUGGAAAUUUCAAAAUUUGCUAAAGAUGGUGUUGAGCAUUAGCGCACGAGAACGGUUGUUGAAAAAGAAAAAGAAGAGGUUUUCUCCUUAUACAUAUGACACUUUUUUUCUACUAUUUUGUAAUCUGUAAAUUGAUUCUAUUUUGGGUGUGAAUCUUAAACUGAUGAUAUAGUUCUCAAGGGUUUGAUUUCUUGGUGGGAUAAGAGUUAGAUAAAAUGUUAUUUUGCAUUUGAUUAUGUAUGUUAAUAAAUCUGGUGAUAAAUUUUGUUCUAAAAUGGUAGGAUUAUGUAUCUCACAUACAAAUUUAGAUCCAAGAUUUGAACUUUUUAUUCAAUGUUCAGUAUUCAAUCAUAAAUUGAUUUACUGGGCUUUGAAAUCUAUUAUGUGUACUAGUUUGUGAAUUUUUUACAUCACUUAUAAAGAGUCAAAGUUAAAAUCAUCAGGUAUAGGUUCUGAUAGAUCUAUAACUUCUAUGUAUGAAUUUAGAAUUUGAAGUUUAUUAGUUUAAAAGUAGAAUUAUAUCAUAAUCUAUUUAAUUUUCUCAUAUGUUUGGUUUGAGUGAGAAUUACUGGUUCGAUCCGAAUUCCACGAGCAUGCACAUUUAUCCCUCUCUAGAAAAGUAUACUUUAGAAGUGAUAACAAUUAUAUUUAAUGAUUUUUGUUUAAGUAUCUCUGAAUCUCCUUCUAAAACGUUGAAUCUAAUAAAAUGGUGUCUGAAAAUGGUAAUCAUUCAACAUCAAAGUUUUAAGAGGAGACUCAAAGAUACUUAAAAUAUAAAUCAUUAAAUAUAAUCAUUAUCAUUUCUAGAGAGGGACAGAUAUGUAUGUUUGAACCCCAUUAGCUUACUCAAGCCCUGCAUAUGAGUAAAUCAAUUGGUUUAUGGUAGAAUUUCAAACUGAAACUCAUAAACUUUAAAUUCUAAAUCUACACGUAGAAGUUAUAGAUUUAUCAGAACCUAUUCCUGAUAACUUUAUCUUUGAUUCUUUUUAUGUGUGUUAAAAAUUUCACUAAUCUAGUACAAACAAUUGAUUUUGAAUCCCAAUAAAUCAGUGGUUCAAAAUCAAUCAAGUAAUAGUUCAAUUCUGAACUUUGAACCAUAAAGUUCUUCUCUUGGGGUCUAAAGUUCUAUGUGAGAUACAUGAUCCUACCAUUUCAAAACAAUUUUUAUUUCGGGAUUUACUAACACUUAUAAUCAAAUUUGAAAUAACAUUUUAUCUAGAAUUGUUAACCCUUAUCCCACACACGAAAUAAACCCUUGAGUACUAUUUCAUCAAUUUAAGAUUUACAAAAUAAUAAAGCAAAGGUGUCAUUUGUAUAAGGAGCAAACCCUUCUUUUUCUUCUUCAACAGUCGUUCUCUUACGCUUAAGGCUUGAUUCCAUCUUUUAUGGACCUUGAAAUUUUCUACAAAAAACAACUCUCGAAUGAUGAAAAUAGGAAGACAAAAAAUGGUGAAAAGUAUAAAUUUUAUGGACUCCUCUUAAACAGAAGAAUAGGAAAAGGGGUAGGAGAGAGGAGGAGGAGAGGAAGAAGAAGCGUAUGCAUGUAAAUGUAUAUCAGAUACAUAAAUCUACAUGAAAUCAGUUGGAUACAUGUACAUGUAUUUCAAAUACAUAAAUCUACAUGAAAUCAGUUGGAUACAUAUGCAUGUAUCUGAGAUACAUAGAUCUACUGUGGCUUACUUAUAUAUACGGGUGCGUUAACCAUAAUUAGCUCAUAUACUAGUGAUUUUUUUGUUUUUUACUCAAACAAAUAUUACUGAAUUGUCAUUCUUUGUAACUAUCGCUAAUAAGUCAUAGUUACUCUAUAAUGUGGAAAAUUAUGAUCCGAAUGGUCAUUCUGUAUAAUUAUCCCAAUAAGAAAAUUUGUUCUAAAUAAGGAAAAGUAUUCUUAUAUGUAAUAAUAUAUGAUUUUAUUUGAUUACAAUGAAUGAUCUUCUCAAUAAUUUUUUCAUUAUCAACACAUACUCUUGAAACAUUCUAGAAAAGAGUAAGUGAAAUCCAAAUGCACUAAAAGUAAUUAUAAUGAUUUUCCAUUAAUCAUGCAUAUUUCAAUUGUGAUUAAUAUCAAUCCUACUUGAAUAUCGUCCUCAUCAAACUAAAUUGACCUUGGAAUUGAAAGAAUAAUUGUUGAAAGAAUAAUUGCUCCUUUGUGAUUAUUGAAUGGGUCCAAGCCCAACGCUAAAGAGGACUUCCAAUGUGUCAGUUGCUACUUUUCCGUAAGUAUUUUCGGGACCUAUGUGUUUAACUUAUACGAGGAAAGUAUGUCCAGUGUCUUUUAAAAUUUAAAAUUUUAAAAUUUUUAUCUCACCAAAAUAUUUGAUCUUAAGUUUUUAUUCCAAUUUGUUAAAUGUUUUAAAAAUAAUUCUAACUUGAAAAGAAUCGCUUGAACAUAAAACUAACAACUUUGUGAUGAUGAAAGGAGUACGUCAGAUCUAUAAAAUUUCAGAUGAAAUACGUCAUUUGAAAAGCUUACAAUGAGCCAAUUUCUUACAGGCAUCCCCAAAAAUUUACCUUUAUAAAUCUCCAUGUUUUUUGUUUGGCAAUAAAAAUAAAUUAUAAACUUUAAGAAUGUACUUUCCAUAAGAAAUCACCAAUGUAACAUAAAAUCUAUGUCUAUAUCUAGGGAUUUUAGGCUAUCUUUUAAGGAACUUAUAGCCAAUCAUAAGUCUGCUCCAGUAGUGCUACUUGAGACGCAUAGGACAAGCCACCAGUAUCUGCCACACGAGUUUAGUUUUUCGAAUGUCCUAGCUGUCCCGGCUGACAAACUGGGGGCAUGAUACUUCUCUGGCAUAAUGACUUACUCAGUAUCUCAAGUGUUUCUCUAACGCAUCAAGAGAUUCGGUGCAUGGAUCAGGUAAUAUACUCUCAUUUUCAAUGGUUGUUUUCUACUAGCUUUUAUGCUCAUAAUAAUACAACUAGUAAGGUCAACCUAUGGGACAACCUAAAGAUGGUGUCGGAUAGUAACUUUGGUCCUUGUUUACUAGGUGGAGAUUUUAAUGAAGUCACUAUAUCUAUCGAGAAAUUUAGAGGGCAGACUAUUGGAUUUAAUAGGACUGAUAGGUUUAUACAAUGCCCCAACUUUUGUAAAAUGAUAGAUUUAGGCUUUAGUGGUAGCAAAUUUACUUGGAUAAAUCGGAGGCAUAACAACCGCUUGAUUCUAGUAUGCCUAGACAGAUUUUAUAGUAACACUGCUUGGUUACAGGCUUUCCCAGAGGCCCGUGUCAAGCACCUGCCCAACAUUUACUCAGAUCACUGCCCUAUACUUUUUUAACUAUCAAGUUCUCGACCAAUCCAAAACAAAUAGUUUCGUUUAGAGUCAAUGUGGACGUCCCACCCCCAAUUCCCGCUUGUAGUCUCCCAGUCUUGGGAUGUUUCCAACAAUAUCCUCAUGCCCUACAUUCGUUGAUUUCAAGAUGAUAUCCUAAACUGGAACAAGAAUAUGUUUGGAAAUAUAUUCCACAAGAAACGACGCCUCCUCGCUAGACUAACAGGAGUUCUGAGAUCGCCUGUCUACCCUACAUGUUCCUUGUUACAAAAUCUAGAAAUAGAACUUACUAAGAAUUACAAAGUACUACUUCUCCUUAAACAUAAAUUCUGAAAAAUUAAGUCAAGAGUGUCCUAGCUUAACGAGGGAGAUGCAAAUACCAAAUUUUUUCACUUGUCAGUCCCUAAUCAAAGGCAUAGGAACUGAAUUGUGGCGCUUAAGGAUGAGGUAGGCAACUGGGUGGAGGGUUAUGGUAACCCGGGAAAACAUAUUACAAUUUUUUUCCAUAAACUCUACUCGUCGGACCUUAUUGCUUUUUCAAAUCAGUUCGCUCGUGCUCCAACCCACUUCAUCCCUAUGUCGACACACGCCUCUCUUGAUCUUCCUAUGCGCCCGACUGAAGUUGUGGCAGGCAUCAAUUCUUUCAAACCUUUUAAGGCUCCGGGACACGAUGGUCUGUAUCCUUUCUUCUUUCAAAAGUAUUGGUCAAUUGUGGGAAGCUCGCUUCACCAAUUUUGUUCUACGACCUUUACGAAAUGGACCAUCCCAGAAGGCGUAAAUUAGACUUAUAUAUGCUUGGUACCAAAAGCUAGUACUGCGGCGACAAUUACUCAAUUCCGGCCUAUAAGCCUUUGUAAUACCAUUUAUAAGGUAAUUACAAAAAUCUUAAUGACAAAAUCAAGCCUUUCUUGCAAGAGAUGAUUGGGUUGACUCAAUCUAGCUUCUUAGUAGGAAGGAGGGCUUCAGACAAUACAAUAGUGGUUCACGAAAUACUGCAUUUCCUUAAAAAAAAAACUAGAGGUCAAAAAUAAUACAUGAUGCUAAAACUGAUUUGGAAAAGGUUUUUGAUUGGCUUGAAUGGUCCUUUAUAUAUGAUACACUUCUUUUCUUUAACUUCUCCCCAAAUAUGAUCAAACUUAUAAUGUAAUGUAUUUGUACCCCUACGAUAUCUAUCCUAAUUAACGGUAAUGCUACUCCCCCUUUUUCUUCUACUAGGGGCAUUUGAUAAGGAGAUCUGUUGUCACCGUAUAUAUUUAUCCUAUGCAUGGAAAGACUCUCCCACCGUAUAGACACAACAGUAGAUCACCUUUUAUGAAAGCCCAUUACUUUCUCCCUGAGGCGAAUUCAACUCUCUCAUCUCCUUUUUACUGAUGACAUUAUUCUGUAUGGAGAGUUAGAUGAUGAGACUAUGUGCACAAUCCCAACCAUAAUGACUCACUUUGGAGCAGUUUCGGGACAAAGAAUUAACUACUUCAAAUCAAAAAUCUUUUUCUCAAAAAAUAUGUCGGCUACCAAAAGGAAACUCACUGCUGACUCCCUAAAUAUAUUGGAAGGCUUAUCUUUUGGGAAAUACUUGGGUUUCCCAAUCUCAAAUACCAAAUUAGUUAGAGUUGAUUAUUAAUUUCUAUUGACAACUUUAGGCGGCAUCUGACUAACUGGAAAACUACUUUCCUAUCUCUUAUGGGUAGAGCUACCUUAAUCAAAUCCACCCUUAACAGCAUUCUGAAUCACCUCAUGCAUCUUUUUUAGAUCCCGAGAUACAUUACCAAAUGUUUGGAGCGCUAUGAGCACAACUUCUUUUGGGGAUCCACCACAGCCAAAAAAAGAUACAUCUCCUCAAAUAGUCAAAUCUUACAAAACCCAAGGGCAUCGGGGGGUUGGGUAUUCAAGAUCUUUGGAUAAAAAACAAAGCACUUCUGGCGGGCACGGCUUGGAGAGAUUUCCACUCAAACACUCUUUGGGAUAGCCUCUUAAAAGGUAAGUAUUCACACCAUACUCAUCGUGCCCCCUCCUCGGUAACGUCUUCAACUACUUUGAAAGCCCUAACGAUUGGUUGGAACCACUAUCAGGUCGGCCUUCGCUGGCAACUUGCCAAUGGGCAAUUCAUCAAUUUUUUCAAUGACGUUAGGGUUAAGCCAAACUUCCUUAUUCGUAACCAAAUUCAUGGGGCCUUUUCAGAGGCAAGAGAUGUCCUAUCACAUCUCGAAUGUUAGAAGGAAAGACGCAGGGGAUUUCUCUAAAUUAUCGGUCCAAUUAUCAAAAUCAACGACGUCCAAAAUUCAACAAGUAUACUUCCCCAGGUUCUCGAGCUCCUAUGAUCGUAUCUCUUGGGGCCUAACUACCACGGGGUCUUUUUCUGUUUAAUCAUGUACUGCAGCACUAGAAAGUGCUUACGACACAAAUCCUCCAAACAUAUUACCAUCCCAAAACCUUAACUCUUUCACUUGGAUUUGGAAGCUUUUGGUCUCUCCUAAGUUAAAAUAUUUUCUGUGGCUCCUAAAUUAUGGACGAACAGUUAACUCUAUCUUGUUUUUCCACAUCAAAGUUGUAGAGUCUCCUAUGUGUAGGCUUUUCAAUUCAAUGACUGAAGAAAUAAGUGCAGACCUAUUCGUGCUCUGUCCAAAGGUCGCACCAAUAUGGACCAGCUUAGAAGUCACGAAUCAGGUGAAUACUCUAGUCUCUAUUGAUACUCACCCGUCCCAUUGGCUGCAAAAUCUAAUUCACCUCUAUUUAAACCCCUCCCAAGGGGUGUUGUUACGCACGUAGAUAAGAUCUACAUUAGUUUUUGUAUCUGGCAUAUCUGGCUUGCACUAAACAAGUUUAUAUUUGAAGGCAUUCCAUUCUCGCCCUCUCUAAAAAAUGUCUCACAAAUGGCUGAAGAAUUCUAGUUUUUAGCGGGCCCUACAGGGCCCAAUAAAACCUGCAUUGCUAUGUCUACCAAGUGGAAACCUCCUGCGCAAGUAAACUACAUGCUCAAUACUGACUAUGCCCCCGAGGCUUCAUCUAUAAGUCUAUACCAAUUCGGUCUAGGUGGCAUCUUCAGAUAUUAUAGAGGAGAAUGGGUAUUAGGCUUUCAUGGUUAUUGCAAUGCUAUGGAUGUUCUGGAAGGAGAAACCCACGCCUUGUUACUAGGACUCCAGCUAGCCCACCAGAACAACCUCUUUCCACUAGAAAUUGGGAUAGAUUCUCAACAACUAGUUCGACUUACUUGAUCCUAAUGCAGAUUCUAAAUCUACUUUGAUAUCUGAUUGCAGGUACCUCCUGGGCUUACUGGAUAGUCCCCUGCUGCACCACUUCUUCAGAGAGCAGAAUAAGCUAGCUGACGGAUUAGCUAGAUUACCCAUUACAACCUCUACUACUACGUUUUGGACUCCACCACAGUCACUUCAUGACAUUUUGUAUGCGAAUAUGAAUGGAGUAAUAUCAG